GACGAACGCUGGCGGCGUGCCUAAUACAUGCAAGUCGUGCGGACUUUGCGGGAGCUUGCUCCCAAGAAGUUAGCGGCGGACGGGUGAGUAACACGUGGGCAACCUGCCUGACAGACUGGGAUAACAUUCGGAAACGAAUGCUAAUACCGGAUAGGCAGCGAAGAGGCAUCUCUUUGCUGGGAAAGGCGCUACGGCGUCACUGUCAGAUGGGCCCGCGGCGCAUUAGCUAGUUGGUGAGGUAACGGCUCACCAAGGCGACGACGAGUAGCCGACCUGAGAGGGUGACCGGCCACACUGAGACUGAGACACGGCCCAGACUCCUAUGGGAGGCAGCAGUAGGGAAUCUUCCACAAUGGGCGAAAGCCUGAUGGAGCAACGCCGCGUGAGUGAUGAAGGCCUUCGGGUUGUAAAACUCUGUCUUCUGGGACGAACGGCCAAGAGAGGGAAUGCUCUUGGAUUGACGGUACCAGAGGAGGAAGCCACGGCUAACUACGUGCCAGCCGCCGCGGUAA
RNAcentral lists this ribosomal RNA (512 nucleotides) under uncultured bacterium. RNAcentral describes it as "partial 16S ribosomal RNA". It matches the Rfam family "Bacterial small subunit ribosomal RNA", at positions 28 to 523 of the family's 1533-position model. The record is from RNAcentral.